RNAcentral lists this ribosomal RNA (254 nucleotides) under uncultured bacterium. Its description in RNAcentral is "partial 16S ribosomal RNA". It matches the Rfam family "Bacterial small subunit ribosomal RNA", at positions 524 to 776 of the family's 1533-position model. The record is from RNAcentral.
CACGUACGGGGCGAGCGUUGUCCGGAUUUAUUGGGCGUAAAGAGCUCGUAGGCGGUUUCGUAAGUCGGGUGUGAAAACUUCAGGCUCAACCUGGAGACGCCACCCGAAACUGCGAUGACUAGAGUCCGGUAGGAGAGUGUGGAAUUCCUGGUGUAGCGGUGAAAUGCGCAGAUAUCAGGAGGAACACCAAUGGCGAAGGCAGCCCACUGGGACGGUAUUGACGCUGAGACGCGAAAGCGUGGGGAGCAAACAGG